Acanthopagrus latus (yellowfin seabream) is the source of this 1027-nucleotide long non-coding RNA. RefSeq lists it as uncharacterized. The transcript has 5 exons. NCBI's taxonomy places the organism in Eukaryota, Metazoa, Chordata, Actinopteri, Spariformes, Sparidae. The record is from RefSeq and is a predicted model, not a curated record.
UUCUGCACAGAGGAAGAAAAAAAAAUGUAUAUUGCUGAGGAGUUUUAAUGCAACUUAGAAAGAAAAAAAUGGAGACAACAGCUCCACACAGACUUCACUGAGGGAAAAGUCUAAUCAGCCCAACACAGUGCACCUGUGUGAGUUUUGUGGUGUGAGCUGACAGCUGUUUUAAAUCAGCAUCAAUUAGAACUGAUCCAUUGAAAGUGUAUUUGUUAACCAACACAAAAGUUGGUUCAGUCCGGGGUUAUUUCACUGUCAGCACCUCUGACCCAACAUGUCUCCCAGAUAAACUGGUCUGCACAAGAGCGCAAAUACGUCUAAUUAGCAAAACCCAGUACACCUGUGGUGUGUUUGUACCCACCUGCAUGAGCUGCUCGUGCUGCUGUGGAUCAAAGUCUCCCUCCAGGUCGGCGUGACUGAAGGCUAGCUGCUCAUUACCGGUCAGCUCCUGAAGCUUCUUCAGCUUCUCCAUGAUCUCAGUGCGCUUCAGGUUCUUCAGCUGCUUCAGCUGCUCCUGCUUCUGCUCUUUCUCCUCGCACAGACGUGGCGAUGUUGCGGGGGUACGUUUUGAUCUCCUGGGCGUCAGGCUCCUCAAAGCGGAAGUUGUAGCGUCUCUCAAAGUCGUCCUGCCGCUCCAAGAAAGUCUCCCCUUCCUCCUCCGAGUCCUCCACGUCAUCCUGGACCACCUCGUCGUAGGUAGCCCUUGUUGAGGAAAUAGUCUCUCAGGAAACGCUCCUUCUCAUCCAGCUGUGGGUCAUUCCAGUAGUCUCGCAGUCAGCAGCUGGGAUUCUCCACUUCCUUCGCCGCCCUUGUCGCCGUCGUCGUCGUCAUCAUCGCUGUCCUGGAUGAACUUACGGAAGCUGAGGAGAGAGUUUCCAUAAAUAGUCUGCGAGUUAUGCUGCCAGAUAUCUUCAGAUUGUUUGAUUCUUACCUUUCCUUCAGCGCCCUCUGCUCCUGAAUGUAGCUCGGAGAGGCAGCUCUCUUUGGAAGAAAACAAUAAUGAUCAAUAAAGAGAUCUGUUAUUGGA